Long non-coding RNA from Betta splendens (Siamese fighting fish), 789 nucleotides. RefSeq lists it as uncharacterized. The record is from RefSeq and is a predicted model, not a curated record. The transcript is spliced from 2 exons. Lineage: Eukaryota; Metazoa; Chordata; Actinopteri; Anabantiformes; Osphronemidae.
GAGGGGGCGGAGCUAGCCUGCUGGAGCCCAACUGCUGAGACCACCAUUGUAUACGCUUACAGCAUUAAUAUUCAAUGGCCGGAGAUCCCACUGUAGAUUAUUUAGAAGACAGCAAGUACUUCAGCAUGCACAGUCUGAUAUUUUUGGUUAGUAUGAGCCAGAGUACACGCCGACGAGUUACGCCGUUUUGUGCUGCUUGUAAACAUAGCAACAGUCGAAGCUUAGCUUUGUUGAAGCUUGGCUUUGACUAGCUUCAGGGUGCCAAGGACAAACUAGAAAAAAAACAACCGGACAGAACGGUGGAAUGAGCACUCAGUAAAAUUGGCUGGUCGCGUAUCAUCACAGACUCUUGGACAACCGUCUUGUCUUUUCAGCCACUAACAGCAGAUGAAGAAAAGAAGGGGGUUUUGGCUAAGUGAAGAAUCUGCAGACAACUGUCUGCUUGGAUUCCAAACAAAAAGCUGCUAAACAACCUAGAAACUAUGUCUUUUUUCAAAAGCACUUAAAAUAUAACUUUUGUUAAAAAUGUAAAGUAAUGUUUGAACGUUUGUUUGUUAGAUUCAGCAGUGCUUCUUUCAGCGUAGAGACAUGAUGCAUCUGGCAUACGCCAGCCAGAGCAGUUUCGCUCCAGCAGGCUUGCUCCACCCCCUCUCAGCCCGACCGUUGCUGGGGCAGGUACAGAGGAAUCCAGCAAGCACUACCUCUGUUAGCCCAAGGCAAAAAAAAAAAACUCUCCCCUGUUUCAGAGGCUUUUUACAGAGAAAUAAAUGUUAAUAUAGAUAAUAUGGA